Molecule: ribosomal RNA, 425 nt
Filed under: uncultured bacterium
Lineage: Bacteria
Description: partial 16S ribosomal RNA
Rfam family: Bacterial small subunit ribosomal RNA
Source: RNAcentral
GUGGGGAAUCUUGCGCAAUGGGCGAAAGCCUGACGCAGCCAUGCCGCGUGAAUGAUGAAGGUCUUAGGAUUGUAAAAUUCUUUCACCGGGGACGAUAAUGACGGUACCCGGAGAAGAAGCCCCGGCUAACUUCGUGCCAGCAGCCGCGGUAAUACGAAGGGGGCUAGCGUUGCUCGGAAUUACUGGGCGUAAAGGGCGCGUAGGCGGACAGCUUAGUCAGAGGUGAAAGCCCAGGGCUCAACCUUGGAAUUGCCUUUGAUACUGGCUGUCUUGAAUGUGGGAGAGGUGAGUGGAACUCCGAGUGUAGAGGUGAAAUUCGUAGAUAUUCGGAAGAACACCAGUGGCGAAGGCGACUCACUGGCCCAAUACUGACGCUGAGGCGCGAAAGCGUGGGGAGCAAACAGGAUUAGAAACCCGUGUAGUCC